This 253-nucleotide ribosomal RNA is filed under the name uncultured bacterium. RNAcentral describes it as "partial 16S ribosomal RNA". It matches the Rfam family "Bacterial small subunit ribosomal RNA", at positions 524 to 776 of the family's 1533-position model. The record is from RNAcentral.
UACGUAGGGGGCAAGCGUUGUCCGGAAUCAUUGGGCGUAAAGCGCGUGUAGGCGGCUCGGUAAGUCUGCUCUGAAAGCCCGGGGCUCAACCCUGGGAGGCGGGUGGAUACUGCUGAGCUCGAGUCCGGAAGAGGCGAGUGGAAUUCCUGGUGUAGCGGUGAAAUUCGUAGAUAUUGGGAAGAACACCGGUGGCGAAGGCGGCGACCUGGUCUGAUACUGACGCUGAGGCGCGACAGCGUGGGGAGCAAACAGG